This 329-nucleotide ribosomal RNA is filed under the name uncultured eukaryote. RNAcentral's name for it is "partial 18S ribosomal RNA". It matches the Rfam family "Eukaryotic small subunit ribosomal RNA", at positions 1470 to 1796 of the family's 1831-position model. The record is from RNAcentral.
CCCUUAGAUGUCCUGGGCCGCACGCGCGCUACACUGAGUGUCUGAGAUACGAGUCUGCCUGGUCCGGCAAGGUCUAGGUAAUCGCUAAAAGACACAUCAUGCUUGGGAUAGAUUAUUGCAAAUAUUAAUCUUGAACGAGGAAUUCCUAGUAAGCGCAAGUCAACAGCUUGCGUUGAUUACGUCCCUGCCCUUUGUACACACCGCCCGUCGCUACUACUGAUUGGAUGUUUAAGCGAGGUUCUCGAACUGCUAGCGACUUAGCUUCGGUGAGGUCGCAGUGUGGGAAGUGAACCUAGCUUUGGGGUCUAGAGGAAGUAAAAGUCGUAACA